This 460-nucleotide ribosomal RNA is filed under the name uncultured bacterium. RNAcentral describes it as "partial 16S ribosomal RNA". It matches the Rfam family "Bacterial small subunit ribosomal RNA", at positions 338 to 795 of the family's 1533-position model. The record is from RNAcentral.
CCUACGGGAGGCAGCAGUGAGGAAUAUUGGUCAAUGGACGAGAGUCUGAACCAGCCAAGUAGCGUGAAGGAUGACUGCCCUAUGGGUUGUAAACUUCUUUUAUAUGGGAAUAAAACAGGGUAUGCAUACCCUCUUGUAUGUACCAUAUGACUAAGGAUCGGCUAACUCCGUGCCAGCAGCCGCGGUAAUACGGAGGAUCCGAGCGUUAUCCGGAUUUAUUGGGUUUAAAGGGAGCGUAGGUGGAUUGUUAAGUCAGUUGUGAAAGUUUGCGGCUCAACCGUAAAAUUGCAGUUGAAACUGGCAGUCUUGAGUACAGUAGAGGGGGGCGGAAUUCGAGGUGUAGCGGUGAAAUGCUUAGAGAUCACGAAGAACUCCGAUUGCGAAGGCAGCUCACUGGACUGCAACUGACACUGAUGCUCGAAAGUGUGGGUAGCAAACAGGAUUAGAUACCCUUGUAGUC